Molecule: long non-coding RNA, 556 nt
Organism: Triticum dicoccoides
Lineage: Eukaryota; Viridiplantae; Streptophyta; Magnoliopsida; Poales; Poaceae
Exons: 2
Source: RefSeq, a predicted model, not a curated record
CGCCGCACCGCCACCUCGACUAAGCCAUGGUCAACGCGUCAAGAUCGGUCCGGCGAGCCAUCGCUGCACCGGGACGGGAUCCCCAUCCUCUCUUCUCUCUUCUCCGUUGACGGCAAGCGGGAAGAUGGUGCAGUUUGGUUGGAUGUCGUGUUGCAUUAUUUUUGCAUUUCCCUCGUCAUGCAGUUUGGACAGCGAGCCUUCCUCCAUGGUGCGUGCGUGUGUGCAAUCUGCGACGUGUGUGUGUGCAGUGCAGCCUAUAUAAACCGUGGCCGUGCAGCUCAAACAAGCCCGCAAUGAAGUUCCGUGCUUGUGCCCGUGCUGUUCGAUGAACACAAGUUUUUUUCCGUGCUUGUGUCCGUGCUGUUCGAUGAACACAAGUGCAAGCUCCUGGAUGGUGGACUGCCGAAGGUGCGGUGCAGUUGACGGACUGUUGAAGUUUGCCUGAGUCUUCGUUGCAGUACGGCUAGGUGUCGAAAGUUGUUCUUUUGUUGAUUUUUCAGGUUUCCAGAGACUGCAAAUCAUUAUAAGUAAACAUCUGUGGUUCGCUCUGAAAAAA